Long non-coding RNA from Fukomys damarensis (Damara mole-rat), 4644 nucleotides. RefSeq lists it as uncharacterized. NCBI's taxonomy places the organism in Eukaryota, Metazoa, Chordata, Mammalia, Rodentia, Bathyergidae. The record is from RefSeq and is a predicted model, not a curated record. The transcript is spliced from 3 exons.
GGAGGGGGUCGGUGUGCGGAGGAUGGGGGGGGGCCCAGGAAGGAGGAAUUAGGCGGGAUGACUCAUGCGUCACCCUGCUUCCUUCCGACCUGCGAUGCAGUCACCCAGUAUCAGGGGGCGUGAGAACCUCCUCCCCACCGCCAGUGGGCUGGCGGAGGGGGCGGAUGCUUCUCGUCUGCCUGGAGCGUUUGGCAACACCGUGGGCGAGAGCUGCGCAGUGUAGGACGCCCCUUCUCCGCUGCCGGCCUCCACCCGGGCCGCUCGGCGUCUCCUCUUCCCGGAAGCCGGAGCCUCGAGCGCCCCCACCUGGAGCCUGACGGCGCUGGGCGGGAGCCUUGGCGAGAACCGCUAGGCCUCCUUCCGCUUCGUCCGAGGCCCCAGUGUCCAAAGGGGGUUAAUAGCGUCUUCCUGGCGUGCGUGUCUUGAGACUUAGCGAGGAUGGACGGUGCUUCUAUUUCCCACAAUUCUUACCUGCAUUUUGGAGUCAAAGGUUGUAUUUGUAGCUUCUGAUGCCAUCUGUAUUGGAAUUAAGGGCUCCUUAGGAAGGAGAAGCCACGGGGGCAGUGUGCCCUGUUAAUAUUUUUUGAGUAUCUACUGUAUAAAUGAGACUUUUGAUGAUAAAAGUGAUGGAGAAGGUUGGAGACUCAGGGUCCUUCAGGGAAUGAAGAAAAACCACCAAAGAUAGGAUCAAAGAAGGAGCCUGCAGGUGUUAGAGGCCAGUACCAUCUAAUUUGCAAUUUUACUAUAGCCAAACUUCUCAAAGUAAAUUAAGUACAGUGUAAUUUUUAAUUUUAUCUUUUCUAGCUUCUCGUUUUCUUCUGAAAACAUUACUAUCCAAAGAAGCAGCAGGCUUCUCAGCUCUUGGAAAAGCCAUUUAAGAAGUCCCAUUGUCAAUUUCAAAUGGAACAGGAAGGAAGGAAAGGAAGGGAAGGAAGGAAGGGGGUAACCUGCUACAUUAUCAUUUAAAAAUAACUUAUUAAGACUACAGGCCUCUUUUUAUAUAGGUAGGAAUCCAAAAAUUCUGAGAGGGAAUAUUCAGUGAGUGUUCACAGGAAGCCCAUCAACAUCAGAGAUGAUUUUUCCUCGUGAGCUCCCAGUUUCCAUCGAGCUGUUUGAUCCAAAAGAGUGUGUGAGAAAGUAAAUCAGAGCACUACUCACCCCUGCCUUCAAAGCAUCCUUAUUUCUGUAGCCUCUUGGGAGCUGAAGCCAGUGGAGGAAGCGAGACCUCCCCUAGACCCUCAUCUGUUAAGAGUCCCACUUCUCCCAUUACCUUUUAUUCUCCUACGCCAGUGUGUUUGUCCGUGGAUGAAUCCUGCUGAAUUUGCCACUCACUCAGAAGGAAAAUUAACUACAAAUUUACUUCUGGACACCCAGUUUAAUGUUAAUAAUCCUGCUUGACAGCUGGUGAGAGCUUCCUGAGUGAGGAAGGGAUAAUAGGUUUCUGUUUGUGUGCCAACUCCAAAAGAUUGAUUGCCCAUGACUAUAUAGGCAAGGACAGCCUUGAGAAGGUGUUGAGGCCAUUUUUUAUUUUUUGGUUUUUUUUUUAAACAAAAAAUAAGUCAUAAUCAAUUAGUGAUAAUCUAACGAGAAAGAAAGAUUAGUGGCACAAGUGUAAAUUAUGUUGCAUCAGUACUAAAUUCAGAGCUAUAAUUUAUUGCAAGCUUACAUCGUGCCAGAUGCUGGAUUAAGAAUGGUACAUGUGCUAUUUCGCUCAGUCUUCAUGAGUGCAUCUCCCAUGGUAGGGAUAAAAAAUGUGGGUACAGUGGGUUGAAAUAACUGGCUCAAGGUCACCCAGCUAGUAAGAGCCAGAACAGCUGCUCGAGCCCUGGCUUCAUGAUGUAGAUGUUCUGAUGCAAAACACCAGAGUGUGUGAAUUAGGGUUGGAGCUGAGGCUGCCACAGGCCAAGCCAUGGUGCUCCACUCAUGUGCGGCUCUAGGGCAACACACAGGGCCUGGAGCCCUUCCUUACGUGUGCCCUCAAUGCAGGCUUCCUAGUUUGGAGAUGUUGGCUUGUCUUCCAGUUCUGAGUCCACAAAAAAUUUAAUAAACACCUACUUUCUGCCAAGGAUCUGGCGAUGCAGUGGAGAGAAAAAUAGAGUUCCCUGCACUCAAGAAGCUUAAACUCAGGUUGAGGGAGUCAGGCAGUGAACGCAUAAACAAGACAACUCCCAGCCUGGGAAAAUGCUAUGGAGAAGCACGAAGAGAGCCACUGGGACCGACUGAGUGAAAGAGUUACUUAAGCCAAGGAUGAAGGUCUCUGAGAAAGAGACCCCAAAUGUGGGAAAGAAGCAGCUUUGGGAGAAUACGGGGACACGCGCCCAGCAGAAGGAGGAGCACAUUCAAAGACUCCGACAUCUAAGGACCCACCAUGUUGGAGAGAAUAGUCUCAGGUACCUGACAGCCCCUCGUUGAUAUUUCAACGUGGAAGACAAAGUUGUGCUUCAGCAACUGUCUGGGAUCCAGUUCUUCUGCAUGAAACCACUGGAUGGGGCUGGGGGUGUAGCUCAGUGAGACAGCACUUGCCUGGGGUAAGUAAGUAGGACCCUGGGUUCCUAGCACUGGAAAAACAAAUAAGCAAGCAGAGAAACAUAGAAACAACUAGGCUGGCCUCUGCAGAACAGCAGAGCGUGAAAGAGGUGAAAACUAAUUUCAGGUGCAGGGGAGGACGCCUCACUUGAAGAGUCAAUGAAGCUUCCUCCUGAGACAGAACCCUCUGGCAUUGCUGUCCUUCUUGUCUGUGCUUAUUUAAGGAGCGUGUAUCAAACCUCAUUUGUUUGUCCAGAAAAGGUUAACAGAAAUAAAAUUAUAAGCAGAGAAACCAUUUUUUUCUACUUUGAGAAACUUGUACUUGACUGGGGAUACGCAUGUGAAAGAAGGAGUAAACCUAAAGCAAUCCAGGAAACUCAGAUUGUAACUCAGUGAGUAUAGAGCAGUGUAGGUCUUCUUCACAUACCAUUCUUUUUUCACCCCACACUGUUUUUUGUAAUAAUUGCUGAUGUUAUCUCCAUUUUAUGGCCAGGAAAACUGAGGCUCAGAGGUCAAAUACCAGGGAAAGUAGUAAGGGGAAGGGAGAGGAUGCUAUUAGAUUUAAGAACACAGACUCUGCGUCAGAGUUUUAGAACUUUGGCUCCAAUUCUUACUCGUUUUGUAAAUUUGGGCAAGUUCUUUACCCCCUCUGGGACUCAGUUUCUCCACAUGUAAAGUUAACAAUGGUAUUGGCUUCCUCCAAGUGCACGAAAUGAGAAAUACAUUCAAGAUGCACAGGGCUGAGAACAGUUUGCUCUCAGCAGCCUAUGGUUUGAGGAAGAGACAAAGCCAGGACUGGAUCCCAGCAUCUCCUGCCUUUCAGAUGCGAGACCCUGCAUGCUGCGUGGAGUCCAGAAUCCCUCUGUUCAGAUUUAAAACACGGCUCAUUUCCGUCUUACAUAUAUAACCAUCUGUUUAUCUGCCCUGUGACUGUUUCUUCCUUUGAGAAAAGAAGAUAACACAGUGGCUACCUCAUGGGUUGAUGUGAAGGUUGGGUGGUUUGUUACACAUGCAAUAUUUAGAAUGAGGUUUACCACACGGUUAGUUCCCUAGGGGAAUUCCCCAAAAAGCAUGAAAACUGGAGGGGUGCACUUGGCUGGGGAGGCUGCGUCCAAGCAGCAUUGGUCACUUGUCCUGAUGGAGCAGAUGCCAACCGAUUCUGCACCCCGUGCUGAUCUUCCACUCGUGCAGUUGGAGGAGGUAUCGCGGCCAGAUUUGCACACCUACCUCCAUCUGCCAAAACCACAGGGGCUGCUCAGCAACACAUGGAAAAAUCCAAUUUGCAAUGCAAACCAUUUUCUUCUGCAUACAUCUUUCCACACUUGAAGGUGGGAAAACACACGUGAGAAUUCGUGGUGCUGGGGGGGGGCAUGAACUUGUUGACUCGUUCUGUCAGCCGGCAAUGAUGCCUGAGCCCUGUUGUCCCACAGAGCUGCCUGAUAUCCGCUGAGCUGGAGUGAGAGUUGGAAGGUUCUCUUACAGAGAAGAAAGCUUCAUCAGGCCCCAGAUAUAAUGAACGGCCUCAGCCCUUGACUUCCUAAACUGGAAGACUUAGUCUCAGCACGUUCUUAGCUUCCUUUGGCUUCACAGCCCCAAAGAUCUCCCCCUUUUCCCCUCCACUCUUAUCCCCUUCCCCUCAGCCAUCCAAUAGAGGCAGGAAUCAGGGCAGCUUUCCUUGCCACUGUGUAAACAUUUGCUAAAUUAAAUGACGGUUUAUUGCAUGUUGGUGGGGUGCUGCAUACACGACUUUAGUCCUCAGAGAGACGCCCAAAGAUUUGAACAGUCCAGGAAUUUAAGCCAUGACAUUUCCCCUGGUUAUGUAUAGAAAGCUUAUCUUUCCUACUCGUCAUCACAGUAGCUUUGGUUCUUGUACUAGAGAGCCGUGUGUUAAAAGUAUUGCUUACAUUUGGGGCAACUAGAAUGGGUCCGAUGUGACUGUGCUCCUUCGUUUGUGAAGUGGACCUAAUGCAGUGGCUGCCUCACGGGUUGAUGGAAAGCGGUUUAUUACGUGUGCAAAGGUGUAGAUUAAACAAGACAGAUGAGGAAAUAACAAUAUGUAUGACUUGAAUUACAAGCCCAUGCUAAAUAACAAAGGGCCCAGGAGACAGUGCUCUAACC